Molecule: ribosomal RNA, 895 nt
Filed under: Testechiniscus spitsbergensis
Lineage: Eukaryota; Metazoa; Tardigrada; Heterotardigrada; Echiniscoidea; Echiniscidae
Description: SSU rRNA
Rfam family: Eukaryotic small subunit ribosomal RNA
Source: RNAcentral
CUGUGGUAAUUCUAGAGCUAAUACAUGCAGCAAGCCUUUACCCCUUGUGGGCAAAGGCGCAUUUAUUAUUUCAAAAACCAAUCGGUUGUAUUUUCGGAUAUAACCGUUAGCUUGGUGAGACUGAGUAACCACAGCAAAUCGUAUGGCCUUGUGCUCGACGAUCUGUCAGUCAAGCAACUGCCUUAUCAGCUUGUUGUUAGGUUAUAUGCCUAACAAGGCUUCAACGGGUAACGAACGAUCGGGGUCGGAUAUCGGAGAGGGAGCUUGAGAAACGGCUACCACUUCCAAGGAAGGCAGCAGGCGCGCAAAUUACCCACUCUCGGCAUGAGGAGGUAGCAAUAAAAUGUAUCGAUGCGGGGCCAUUAGUGCCUUCGUAAUCGGAAUGAGUACACUUUAAAUCCUAUAACAAGGACCUAUUGGAGGGCAAGUCUGGUGCCAGCAGCCGCGGUAAUUCCAGCUCCAAUAGCGUAUAUUAAUGCUGCUGCGGUUAAAAAGCUCGUAGUCGGAUCUGGGUUACCGGCGGGCAACUCAUGUUGUUUCAUACAACAUGUUGUUUGCUAUACGUGUCGCUUCGGCGGCGCUGCCAGUAUAGUGCUGUCUCUUUGUAGGCACGCUAUAUCGGUCGCCGGAACCACGGGCCGGGUUGGGCAGCAUGCUCUUCAUUGAGUGUGUUGUUCACUCGGUGCGUUUACUUUGAAAAAAUUGGAGUGCUCAAAGCAAGCGUACAGUCGCUAUGCGGCUUGAACAGUGGUGCAUGGAAUAAUGAAAUAGGGCCUCGGUUCUAUUUUGUUGGUUUUAAGAUAUCGAGGUAAUGAUUAAGAGGGACAGACGGGGACGUUUGUAUUGCGACGUUAGAGGUGAAAUUCUUGGAUCGUCGCAAGACACACUAAUGCGA